Small nuclear RNA from Capsella rubella, 151 nucleotides. It matches the Rfam family "U4 spliceosomal RNA". From Rfam's summary of the family: U4 small nuclear RNA (U4 snRNA) is a component of the major U2-dependent spliceosome. The structure of U4 snRNA from yeast and human has been reported. U4 snRNA presents a k-turn RNA motif in the 5p-SL related to recognition of Snu13 protein. The record is from Rfam. Lineage: Eukaryota; Viridiplantae; Streptophyta; Magnoliopsida; Brassicales; Brassicaceae.
AUCUUUGCGCUUGGGGCAAUGACGCAGCUAAUGAGGUCUUAACCGAAGCGCGUCUAUUGCUGGUUGAAAACUAUUUCCAUACCCCCUCCUGGGCCUAAGCUCGUCUUGGGCCUUCGAGAAUUUCUGGAAGAGCUCCCUUCGGGGUAAAGCU